Molecule: transfer RNA, 55 nt
Filed under: Teladorsagia circumcincta
Lineage: Eukaryota; Metazoa; Nematoda; Chromadorea; Rhabditida; Trichostrongylidae
Description: tRNA-Tyr
Source: RNAcentral
AAGAUUUUAGUUUAUUGUAAAAUGUUAAAUUGUAAAUUUAAAGAAGUUAAUCUUG